UCGAACGAGUUCUGAUUAUUGAAAGGUGCUUGCAUCUUGAUUUAAUUUUGAACGAGUGGCGGACGGGUGAGUAACACGUGGGUAACCUGCCCUUAAGUGGGGGAUAACAUUUGGAAACAGAUGCUAAUACCGCAUAAAUCCAAGAACCGCAUGGUUCUUGGCUGAAAGAUGGCGUAAGCUAUCGCUUUUGGAUGGACCCGCGGCGUAUUAGCUAGUUGGUGAGGUAACGGCUCACCAAGGCAAUGAUACGUAGCCGAACUGAGAGGUUGAUCGGCCACAUUGGGACUGAGACACGGCCCAAACUCCUACGGGAGGCAGCAGUAGGGAAUCUUCCACAAUGGACGCAAGUCUGAUGGAGCAACGCCGCGUGAGUGAAGAAGGCUUUCGGGUCGUAAAACUCUGUUGUUGGAGAAGAAUGGUCGGCAGAGUAACUGUUGUCGGCGUGACGGUAUCCAACCAGAAAGCCACGGCUAACUACGUGCCAGCAGCCGCGGUAAUACGUAGGUGGCAAGCGUUAUCCGGAUUUAUUGGGCGUAAAGCGAGCGCAGGCGGUUUUUUAAGUCUGAUGUGAAAGCCCUCGGCUUAACCGAGGAAGUGCAUCGGAAACUGGGAAACUUGAGUGCAGAAGAGGACAGUGGAACUCCAUGUGUAGCGGUGAAAUGCGUAGAUAUAUGGAAGAACACCAGUGGCGAAGGCGGCUGUCUGGUCUGUAACUGACGCUGAGGCUCGAAAGCAUGGGUAGCGAACAGGAUUAGAUACCCUGGUAGUCCAUGCCGUAAACGAUGAAUGCUAGGUGUUGGAGGGUUUCCGCCCUUCAGUGCCGCAGCUAACGCAUUAAGCAUUCCGCCUGGGGAGUACGACCGCAAGGUUGAAACUCAAAGGAAUUGACGGGGGCCCGCACAAGCGGUGGAGCAUGUGGUUUAAUUCGAAGCAACGCGAAGAACCUUACCAGGUCUUGACAUCUUUUGAUCACCUGAGAGAUCAGGUUUCCCCUUCGGGGGCAAAAUGACAGGUGGUGCAUGGUUGUCGUCAGCUCGUGUCGUGAGAUGUUGGGUUAAGUCCCGCAACGAGCGCAACCCUUAUGACUAGUUGCCAGCAUUUAGUUGGGCACUCUAGUAAGACUGCCGGUGACAAACCGGAGGAAGGUGGGGAUGACGUCAAAUCAUCAUGCCCCUUAUGACCUGGGCUACACACGUGCUACAAUGGAUGGUACAACGAGUUGCGAGACCGCGAGGUCAAGCUAAUCUCUUAAAGCCAUUCUCAGUUCGGACUGUAGGCUGCAACUCGCCUACACGAAGUCGGAAUCGCUAGUAAUCGCGGAUCAGCACGCCGCGGUGAAUACGUUCCCGGGCCUUGUACACACCGCCCGUCACACCAUGAGAGUUUGUAACACCCGAAGCCGGUGGCGUAACCCUUAGGGAGCGAGCC
This 1428-nucleotide ribosomal RNA is filed under the name Lacticaseibacillus rhamnosus. RNAcentral's name for it is "bacterial SSU rRNA". It matches the Rfam family "Bacterial small subunit ribosomal RNA". Lineage: Bacteria; Bacillati; Bacillota; Bacilli; Lactobacillales; Lactobacillaceae. The record is from RNAcentral.